This 255-nucleotide ribosomal RNA is filed under the name uncultured bacterium. RNAcentral describes it as "partial 16S ribosomal RNA". It matches the Rfam family "Bacterial small subunit ribosomal RNA", at positions 524 to 776 of the family's 1533-position model. The record is from RNAcentral.
UACGAAGGGUGCAAGCGUUAAUCGGAAUUACUGGGCGUAAAGCGUGCGUAGGCGGUUUGUUAAGUCCGUUGUGAAAGCCCUGGGCUCAACCUGGGAAUUGCAGUGGAUACUGGCAAGCUAGAGUCAGGUAGAGGGUGGGUGGGAAUUCCCGGUGUAGCGGUGAAAUGCGUAGAGAUCGGGAGGAACAUCUGUGGCGAAGGCGGCCACCUGGACCAUGACUGACGCUGAGGCACGAAAGCGUGGGGAGCAAACAGG